Molecule: ribosomal RNA, 393 nt
Filed under: uncultured bacterium
Lineage: Bacteria
Description: partial 16S ribosomal RNA
Rfam family: Bacterial small subunit ribosomal RNA
Source: RNAcentral
AUACGGAGGAUCCGAGCGUUAUCCGGAUUUAUUGGGUUUAAAGGGUGCGUAGGCGGCCUUUUAAGUCAGCGGUGAAAGUCUGUGGCUCAACCAUAGAAUUGCCGUUGAAACUGGGAGGCUUGAGUAUGUUUGAGGCGGGCGGAAUGCGUGGUGUUGCGGUGAAAUGCUUAGAUAUCACGCAGAACCCCGAUUGCGAAGGCGGCCUGCCAAGCCAUGACUGACGCUGAUGCACGAAAGCGUGGGGAUCAAACAGGAUUAGAUACCCUGGUAGUCCACGCAGUAAACGAUGAUCACUAGCUGUUUGCGAUACAGUGUAAGCGGCACAGCGAAAGCGUUAAGUGAUCCACCUGGGGAGUACGCCGGCAACGGUGAAACUCAAAUGAAUUGACGGGG